GGCGUGAGAUCCAUCGAGGCGGCGUGUUCUCUCUGCCGUGAGCUUUCUCGCUAGCCGAAUUCAACUUGUAGGUCCCCAGAUCAGUCCUUCCAGGAUUUUAAGUGGUGAGGUAUGAGUGCCCGAGUCAGAUCCAGAUCCAAGCAAAGAAAAGAUGAUCCAGGGUCUGAACAGCAGGAGCAGCAACCCAGUGAUGAGCAACCGACAAAAAAGGAGGCACCACCUGAGAGUCAGGAUAUUCUACCUGAUCAUGGGAAGGAAGUUGAAGCAGGACCUGUGGCUCAAGGACGGGACCUGGAAGCUGAUCUCCAGGAGCUGCCUCAGGCAAAGGUUGGGGGUAGAACUGAAGAUGACCCUGAUGCAAGGGGCCAAGUCUACCCUUCUUAGAGCCCAUUAAAAUGCCAGAAGCAGGUGAAGGACUACUCCAGAUUUAAACAAGGACAAGCUGAAACAUGCAGACUACUCUCAUGUGGGGUACUUCACUGUUGUAGUUCUCUCAAUAAAGUGUUACAUCCGUUCCACAAAGAAUCAUUG
Long non-coding RNA from Zalophus californianus (California sea lion), 531 nucleotides. RefSeq lists it as uncharacterized. The transcript is spliced from 5 exons. The record is from RefSeq and is a predicted model, not a curated record. NCBI's taxonomy places the organism in Eukaryota, Metazoa, Chordata, Mammalia, Carnivora, Otariidae.